AUCUGAUWGAGUUUGAUCAUGGCUCAGAACGAACGCUGGCGGUAUGCUUAACACAUGCAAGUCGAACGGGUGUAGCAAUACAUCAGUGGCAAACGGGUGAGGAAUAUASAGGAAUCUCCCCAGCAGUAAGGAAUAACUUUGGGAAACCAAAGCUAAUGCCAUAUAUCACCCUYCGGGGGAAAGAUUUAUCGCUGUUGGAUGAGCCUSUAUCGGAUUAGCUAGUUGGUGAGGUAAUGGCUCACCAAGGCAAYGAUCCGUAGCUGGUCUKAGAGGAUGAUCAGCCACACUGGAACUGAGACACGGUCCAGACUCCUACGGGAGGCAGCAGUGGGGAAUAUUGGACAAUGGGCGCAAGCCUGAUCCAGCAAUACCGCGUGAGUGAUGAAGGUCUUCGGAUUGUAAAGCUCUUUUAGUAGGGAAGAUAAUGACGGUACCUACAGAAAAAGCACCGGCAAACUUCGUGCCAGC
Molecule: ribosomal RNA, 468 nt
Filed under: uncultured bacterium
Lineage: Bacteria
Description: bacterial SSU rRNA
Rfam family: Bacterial small subunit ribosomal RNA
Source: RNAcentral